ACCUGAACUCGAGAAUGGGGAGAAAACUCGCCCAUUUUCGGUCUGAGGGGCUUUUAUAGGUGGCCAGCCAAACCUCCUUCGGCGGCCUAACGUGCAUGCAAAACACCCCCAUGUUCGGCGGCCGAACUUGAGGUUCGGCGGCCGAACCUGGUUUGUUCAAACAUAGCUUUCGGAGGCCAAAAGCACUUCCGAAACCAACUCAUGUUCGGCGGCCGAACUUCACUUUCGGCGGCCGAACCUGGCAAAAACCUCCUUGGUCUUUUCUUUUCAAAACUCACUUCUUUUUCAUUUAAAACCAAGAAAUCAGUAAAAAUCAUUUUAGAAAUCACAUUUUACCCCUCUAGAAAACUCUG
Molecule: long non-coding RNA, 353 nt
Filed under: Manihot esculenta (cassava)
Lineage: Eukaryota; Viridiplantae; Streptophyta; Magnoliopsida; Malpighiales; Euphorbiaceae
Description: long non-coding RNA (MESC_LNC002930)
Source: RNAcentral